RNAcentral lists this long non-coding RNA (2357 nucleotides) under Sinocyclocheilus grahami. RNAcentral's name for it is "lncRNA (ENSSGRG00000004704.1)". The record is from RNAcentral. Lineage: Eukaryota; Metazoa; Chordata; Actinopteri; Cypriniformes; Cyprinidae.
UUAGUAUUGCAUUUUGCUCUCACCCUUCUUACCUUCUUUGUCUCUGAUUGCAGAUAUCAGUUCAAAACUUGAGCUGAGACGACAGCUUAGGUCAGACACAAGGAAAAACCGCAAGCGCUUGGUGAAAAAUUCAUGCUGUGCUUUGUGUGGUGACGUAAAAUACACUCCUCCCCCUAGUAAGAAUCUGGCCCCUUUACUCAGUCACAGAUCUAGAGCUGACCGCCCCAGCCAGACUGUGUGCCAGAAAGAUGAUGGUCAUAUCUCAGAGUCCCCGACCGCAAUGAAUUUCCGCUUCGAGAAAUACCCCAUGGUGAAUCUGUGCGAUGUAGCCAGAGUGUUUGACAUAGCCUCUCGUGAUUUCUCAUGUGUCUUACCAGCCGUACUAAGACAAAAGAGGAAGUGCAAAAGAGUGCAGUGCUUAAGGAAAAAAUGUGAUUUUCUUGUGCAUCCUCAUCUCCACGGCAUCAAGGAGUGUAGACGUAAGAUUGCCAACCAGUCCUGGGACGUUUCCACACCAACCCAUAGCUGUGCUUCUUUUUCAUCAGGUGAUCCACCAUCUGGAGCUACGGGCAGCACGCAUGUUUCAGACACAGCUGAGACUCCUGAUGGAUCUGCCAAGGAAUGGGAUGCUUGUCUUGCAAGGAAUCUAGACUUCGAGAGUAUGAGACAGACCGACGUUGAAGGAACAGAAUUGGUACUCCCAGGGUGUGAUGACAAUGGUCCUGUUUUGCAUUUCUGUGAGAAAGACAAGGCCUGUCCAAUGAAAAACAUCUCUGAAAGUCCUACCAGCCAGGCGCGUCGUGUACCACCUCUAAUACUCCGACGGGUUGCUGUCAAUGGUUUUGGUUUCAGAGGUGGUGAUGAUGAUGGGGAGAACAGUGGUCAUUCACUGAAUGAAGGGAAAGAGGAAGACCGUAGUAAUGAGGAUUCUGACAGUGAAGUGAACUCGCCUGAGAGUUUCUCCUGCCAGCGAGUGCAAGCCUACAUAUUUUUCCCUCAAUCAUCAUGCGCUCGCACAUACAAGACCUGGCCCUUCCCUAGAACAGGCCCUCCUAACGACCCCAGGUCACCGCUGCGCACUGGACCCCGCUGGAUUGUAACCACUUCAUUUCCGGCUAUCGUUCAAACUCCUCUCAGUGGAGCACCUGAAUGCUUAUCAGAUAAAGACAUUCCAAACGAAAUGUCCAAACCCACAAAGCAAAGCAAAAGCAGUGAUGAAACAAGAGAGGUACUGGAGGGGCAACCACUUUAUUCAUUUGUGCCAGGUGAGAACACAUUAGCAGUGUUGGAAAGGACUCAGAAAGGUCGAGCACAAAGUCUUAAUCCAAGUCGUACAAUGACACAGGAUAGUUUUAUUUCGAGACUUGCAGACCACAACAGUUACAGUUUAGAAAGUAGAGACAUACUGGAGCAGCAUCCUUCUGCUUUUGGUGAAAAACCGCCCACUUGCACACCUGAAAGGACUCCAAGGGGUCUAGUGCACAGUCCAAAAGUCAAUAUGAUUCAUGUUUCCAAACCUGCAGAGCCUGAGUCAAACCAAAGUCUGAAGAAAGCUUUGGAGGAUGUUCUUGAGUCCUCUGUACCUGCAGUGACUGAACAGGUUAAAAUCUGCAAAUUUAAUGGUCUUGGCUAUGCAACAUCAUUAGAGGAGUGUGGCCUUUUAAAAAAUCAUUGCCUGCUCAAGAAGUCCGAUCAGAAAGUGCUCUCAAGUGGGUCCGAAGUUCAGGCUGAUUUCAUAAGGGAUGAAGAUCAAAAAGUGUCCAAAGAUGUAUCGGCUGUUGAGAUCAGUACCCAUCCUGUUAGCCAAACCUCAAGAGCUGAGUCAGUCGAGGAUCAAGAGUGGAACGAAAAUAGUGACGGACAAACUCUCUAUAACCCUGGGUCGCUUUCAGAAAUAUGUCUUAAAGUAGAAAUGCUAAAAGCACAGCAUCCUCCUUUAGUGACAACAACUUCCGCAAUGGACCAGGAUGCUGAUGCCACACUGCAUACAGCCGGCAGCAAUCCUGACUGUUCAGGAGAAGAGAAGCAAAAGCAAGAAUUUGACAGCUGUACAGUUACAGGCUCCUCUUCUGAAGAUGAAAACGAACAUGUGACUAAUCUGUCAUCAGAUGACUCUGUGGCGCAUGAUGCUGCUGUGAGCUCACAGUCUGAUGGCGAUGGGACAAAUCCGAUGAAUGAUGAAGAACAAGGCCCCACCCCUCCACAAUUUCCAGCGGUUGCCGACAGCUUCCUGGAUGUUUCUCGAGCAUAUGAAGAAGACAUCCUUGUACUGGACGUCAUACAAGAUGAUCCAGAGUUAUUUGGGGCUGUUGUCACUGAAACUGUGAGUAAACAGGACACAUCAGCAGAGGAGAAUG